GCGUAACGCGUAUGCAACCUACCUUUCACAGGGGGGUAGCCCGAAGAAAUUUGGAUUAAUACCCCAUAAUAUUGUUGGAUGGCAUCAUCUGGCAAUUAAAGCUACGACGGUGUAAGAUGGGCAUGCGUCCUAUUAGCUAGUUGGAGUGGUAACGGCACCCCAAGGCUACGAUAGGUAGGGGUCCUGAGAGGGAGAUCCCCCACACUGGUACUGAGGCAGGGACCAGACUCCUACGGGAGGCAGCAGUGAGGAAUAUUGGUCAAUGGUCGGAAGACUGAACCAGCCAUGCCGCGUGCAGGAAGAAUGCCUUAUGGGUUGUAAACUGCUUUUAUAUGGGAAGAAUAAGGUGUACGUGUACAUUGAUGACGGUACCAUAUGAAUAAGCAUCGGCUAACUCCGUGCCAGCAGCCGCGGUAAUACGGAGGAUGCGAGCGUUAUUCGGAAUCAUUGGGUUUAAAGGGUCUGUAGGCGGGCUAUUAAGUCAGGGGUGAAAGGUUUCAGCUUAACUGAGAAAUUGCCUUUGAUACUGGUAGUCUUGAAUAUCUGUGAAGUUCUUGGAAUGUGUAGUGUAGCGGUGAAAUGCUUAGAUAUUACCAGAACACCGAUUGCCAAGGCAGGGGACUAACAGACGAUUGACGCUGAGAGACGAAAGCGUGGGGA
RNAcentral lists this ribosomal RNA (660 nucleotides) under uncultured bacterium. RNAcentral's name for it is "bacterial SSU rRNA". It matches the Rfam family "Bacterial small subunit ribosomal RNA", at positions 108 to 767 of the family's 1533-position model. The record is from RNAcentral.